RNAcentral lists this ribosomal RNA (1374 nucleotides) under Triticum aestivum (bread wheat). RNAcentral's name for it is "partial small subunit ribosomal RNA". Lineage: Eukaryota; Viridiplantae; Streptophyta; Magnoliopsida; Poales; Poaceae. The record is from RNAcentral.
AUGACCUUUCCCAAGUCAGUCAGAGGCUGGCAGUCGACCUGGUUCUACUGCCAGGACCAGUCGACGCCGGGGCAGUCGAGUGGACUCCCUCAGUUUACCAUGGACCGAGUGAACAAGCCCUCCUCUCUGAAGUUGAUUCCGGAGGAGAAAGCUGACGUGAAGAUGUUGAUGGAGCGCGUGGUGCAGUUGGUUCGGGAGGGAGUGACGGGCAUGGAUCUCCUGGAGGUCUUCCUUAGGCGUCGCAUCCAGCCCCUUCAGUUCCGGAGCCACUGCAUGUGGUUGUACUGUGGGACUGAAGACGAGACUCGAGUCCAUCCAGAAGCAGUCGACGAUGUCACUCUGGAAAGAUGGAUGGCAGCCGUUACCGGAAACAAGGAUAACCCACGCGGAGCCAGAAGGAUUCCUCCACUCGACCACAACAGCGAUCCAAACAAGGCCCUCACCGAGCUGUACUCGAUGCCCAAUGGGGCACAAGCUCCGACUGAGGAGGGUGAGGCGAGUGGGGGCGAGAGCCAGGAAGAGGAGGAAUGGGACUCGGACGUUGCUGAGGAUGAUGAUGACGAUGAUGAUGAUGACGGUGAUGAAGAUGACGUUGAAGACGAGGAAGAAGAGGAGGAGGAGGUCAUACCACCGCGCUCAGAAAGGCGGUCGAAGCUUGUCCACGACCCUUCGACUGAACGUGGUAAGGGGGUUGCGACCGCUGCUCAGUCGACCAAACGCCCUCGGACCACCUCUCCAGUGCCGACUGAAAAGGCGCCGAAGCAGCCCAGGGCGGCCCCGUCGAAGCCAAUCAAGCUCCUGCCGAAGAUGAAGGUGUCCAUCCCCACCAUAUCAGGUGCUGCUACUUCUGAGACCUCAGCCCGGGCUGAUGACCAUGAGAUGGAGGACGCAGCAACUUCAAAACCAGCUCCACCCAAUGCUGUUAUCAAUCUCCCUGAUGAUGAUGAGGAUGAGGAACCGCUGAAGCGCAGAAGGAGUAGGAAAGCGUCCGCCAGCAAGGUGCCCCAGGAUGUGACGGCGCCUGAGAUUCUUAUUGCGGAGGAAGAGAACACCACUCGACACACAGUGUCCUUCGCAGAUCCAUUGACGAGUGCUCAGCAGCCCUCCCUCUUCACGACGCACCACGUCCCAGAGGACCAAGCUGGCGCGGCGAAGGAGGCGAUACGCCAAGCGGGAAUCAUGAUGGAGCAGUUGAAGACCAUCCGGGAUGCGAGCCAGGCAGCUUAUGACGCCAGUUCUGCCCUCCAAAGCAAUGUUCAGAACUCCUGUGAUCUUGUGGCUCGCUACUCUGAGCUGGAAAACAAGCACACUCACCUCGAGCUGAGCUUGAAGCUGGUUCAGGAGAAGCUGACGAAGGCAAAGGAGGAGACCUAA